RNAcentral lists this ribosomal RNA (285 nucleotides) under uncultured microorganism. Its description in RNAcentral is "partial 16S ribosomal RNA". It matches the Rfam family "Archaeal small subunit ribosomal RNA", at positions 330 to 617 of the family's 1478-position model. The record is from RNAcentral.
GCGCACCAGUCGCGAAUCCUCCGCAAUACACGAAAGUGUGACGGGGCCAUCCCGAGUGCCGUCCGCUGAGGACGGCUUUUCCCAGUGUACACAGCUGGGGGAAUAAGGAGAGGGCAAGCCUGGUGUCAGCCGCCGCGGUAAUACCAGCUCUCCGAGUGGUGGGGACGCUUAUUGGGCCUAAAGCAUCCGUAGCCGGCUGGGCAAGUCCUCCGUUAAAUCCAACGAUUCAAUCGUUGGGCUGCGGGGGAUACUGUCCAGCUUGGGGGCGGGAGAGGGCCGACGGUA